UUAUUUGCAUAAAAAAAACAUACAAGGAAUAAGCCUAAUGUUAGGAAUGGUUCGUUUUAGGACUCUUAAACCUAACAAGUUCACAAGAAAAUAAAGCAAGUUUACAAGAUUAUAGUUUCAUGGUAGUUAUCUGUCUCUCAAACAAAAAAAAUCUGUCUCUCCUCCAAGCUAGCAAGUACCCAGCCAAGUGAUAACAUUCUUGCUGCAGCAGCAUAUCCACAUAUCCUCUGUGCAAUUUGCUUGUCACUGCAUCUUUCAAAUUAAUCUUUGGCACCAUCUGAUAAUGAAAGCCAUGGUUGAAUUUCAAAGUCAACUGCACCUUCCUAUAUGACAUCAAAUAUACUCUCUCAGUCUAUGCACAAGUAUAUAUAAAGUUAGGGGUGAUGAGAGCACAGUCAAAAAGAAUAUAAUGAAUGAAUUGAAUUUACUAGCCCAAAAUGGAGGUACACUACAGUAAGUAUCCAUCUCUAAUUCUUCUUUACCCGAAGUCUUUUAUGCAUAGCACUAGCAUCCCUCAUAUACCUUAUAGAUGAUAACAUCAACUUUAUAAAUUGAAACAAACAUAAAAAUGAUCGGCAGCAAAAAAACAAGCAUUUCACACAAGCAAAUAGAAACAACAUAUAAAGCAAACAUAGAGGCUCCCCAAUUUUUCCCCUACCUUUGUUAACUUUCACAUGAAGUAUGAAGCUCCUAAUAAAAAGAUAUAACCAUUAGUUUAACCAAUAGUAUGCAAUGUCUGUUUCAUUUAUAACUCAAUUUAACACUAAGCUCAGAUGCUAAACAGAAGAUACAAUAGUAAGCCAAAACAGUUUCACACAAUAACACAACAACACAAUUUAGCUUUUUGAACCAGUCGCCUUAACUUCAAAAACUGUACAAAUCCUUAAGGAAUUUGAUUUCGAUUUCUUCUAAUGACUUAUAGCAGAUACACAAAAGAAACUCAUAGACUUGGAAUCAACUUAAAAUGAUUUUUCUUGAAUUAGUUAUGGAUUUUCAAAGUUCAGCUUCAGUUUCAGGUUUUUCUGAAAAUUUCCUGCUAUGUGCCUAAACUUAGAAUUUAAAAGCAAAUAAGAAACUCUAUGUGAUACUAAACUUCUAGCAACUGAACAUAACCACUCCAAUGUUUCAAAAAGGAAACACACAAAACUUGCAACAUAAGUAGCUAAAUUAGAUUACCACAACGACAGCUAACAUAAGAUAACAAGUAAAUAUAGUUCUACACUUCUAAUGUUCAUCCAACUUUAAGCAUACCAAAACCUUGAUCUCUAACUUCAAUUUGAGAAACAAAUUACAUGUAUAAGAACCUUAUAGUCUAAUCUAUAUAUCUAUAUAAUAACAUAAAAGAGUAAGAAUCAUAGGCAAACACUGAGACUAAAAAGCAAAGGUACAAAAUCAGAAAAGUGCCUAACUGAAAUUCUGACCAGAAAAGCCUUUGGUUAAAAACGAUAUGGUUCAACUAGGAAUUAAAGCUUGGUGUCUUCAUGGCAUUUGAAAUAGACAUCCUAAAUAUCAAUCUGGAACUGGAAUCGUACAAAAAAGAUUUUCCUACAAUUACUUAUGAUUUUUCAAAGUUGAACACCUGCAUCACGAAAAUCACUGAUUUUGACUCAGAUUAAGUUUCCCCUUUUAAAGAUGAUUCCCAAUAGGUAACAACUAACAACAAAGAAAUACCCAAUCCUAAUGCUUUACUUCCUACCAAGAUGAUCCUCCAUAACAAGAAGCAUAAAUACUGAAGUAAAACACCAACAUUGAAAGCAGAAAGUCAUAAAGAAUCAUCUAUAUAUACUAUUACAAUAUACAUAAUAAACACAACAUAUACGUUGACAAACACAACAACUCUAUAGAAACUCAUCUUUUCUGUAAGAAUUGACUAAGUGACUAACAUGGUUCACAAAGGAAUAACCAAUUGAUCAAGAACAUAAAAGAUGCAGACCUGAAUUGUUCUUCAUAUAUUCCUAUUCUCUCUCUNNNNNNNNNNNNNNNNNNNNAGUGUAGCCGCCCGGUAAAUGUUUCGAGGGUGCACAAGGUUGACUACUUUUCACGCGUCACCCUUAGUAAGGUCAUCAAGAUAAAACACUUGUUUUACCGAUGUGACAAAAACGAACGGGUCAUUUUCGUAACAACUUGUAGCAGUGUUCACCGAUAAUAUUUUGUACUGAUCGGUCUUCAUGCUCUGCGGCCUAGUAUCAAACCAUCUACACUUGAAGAGGUGCACUGUCAUGCCUUGCCCAUAAACGAGUUCCACCACUGAAUGGAGAACACCGUAAUAGUCAACUCCAUUCCGCCCAUCAUGCGCCAUGACCCCAGAAUUUUGUGUUCUCCGUCUGCUGUCUCUCUGUUCACAUAUAAAUUGCACGCCAUUCAUCUUGCACAUCGGAUAAACUCUUGACAUUAUCGGCUUCAUCGCUAGAAGUCUUAGUUCGUGCGACCAAUUUGGGUGACCAUCAAAUUGAAUAUGGUUCAUCUGCAACCACCCAUUCAACUGUAAAUAUGGAUAAUUAUGCAAUAAACAUAAACACGUACAGAAAUAUUAAAUUACGUAUCCAGCCGCCAAAAUAAUCUGCGAACUCUCUGUUGUGGUACUCGAGAUGACCUUGAAUGUCUGGACAAUAUAGAUGGAUGUCUUUCCAGUAUUCAACUUCUCGAUAGUUAACACUAUAAAAAACAAGUAGAUUGGCCACGGCGCAAAACCGUCACCAAUAGCCUUUUUGCCGUGGCAAAACAGUAUUCGCGACGGCGCUGCGACGGCAAAACGUCCGUCACAAAUAGUGGCAUCGCCAAUGGUAUUUGCGACGGCAAUUACGCCGUCGCAAGAGAAUUAGCGACGGCAAACCUUUGUCGUCGCAAGAAGAUACGACGGUGUAAUUGCCGUCGCCAAUACCAUUAGUGACGCCACCAUUUGCGACCACAGCUUUUGCGACGGUAGCAAUGCCGUGGCAAAAGAGUUAUUUAUGAAUAAAAAAAAAUUGGCAUACAAAUAUACACUGCAAAUUUUUAUUAUUAUUUGCAUAAAAAAACAUACAAGGAAUAAGUCUAAUGUUAGGAAUGAUUCGUUUUAGGAAUCUUAAACCUAACAAGUUCACAAGAAAAUAAAGCUAAGUUUACAAGAUUAUAGUUUCAUGGUAGUGUUUACAAGAUUAUAGUUUCAUGGUAGUUAUCUGUCUCUCAAAAAAAAAUGUGUCUCUCCUCCAAGCUAGCAAGUACCCAGCCAAGUGAUAACAUUCUUGCUGCAGCAGCAUAUCCACAUAUCCUCUGUGCAAUUUGCUUGUGACUGCAUAUUUCAAAUUAAUCUUUGACACCAUCUGAUAAUGAAAGCCAUGGUUGAAUUUCAAAGUCAACUGCACCUUCCUAUAUGACAUCAAAUAUACUCUUUCAGUCUAUGCACAAGUAUAUAUAAAGUUAGGGGUGAUGAGAGCACAGUCAUAAAGAAUAUAAUGAAUGAAUUGAAUUUACCAGCCCAAAAUGGAGGUACACUACAGUAAGUAUCUAUCUCUAAUUCUUCUUUACCCAAACUGUUUUAUGCAUAGCACUAGCAUCCCUCAUAUACCUUAUACAUCAACUUUAUAAAUCGAAACAAACAUAAAAAUGAUCGGCAGCAAAGAAACAAGCAUUUCACACAAGCAAAUAGAAACAACAUAUAAAGCAAACAUAGAGGCUCCCUAAUUUUUCCCCUACCUUUGUUAACUUUCACAUGAAGUAUGAAGCUCCUAAUAAAAAGAUAUAACCAUUAGUUUAAGCAAUAAUAUGCAAUGUCUGUUUCAUUUAUAACUCAAUUUAAGACUAAGCUUAGAUGCUAAACAGAAGAUACAAUAGUAAGCCAAAACAGUUUCACACAAUAACACAACAACACAAUUUAGCUUUCUGAACCAGUCGCCUUAACUUCAAAA
RNAcentral lists this long non-coding RNA (3887 nucleotides) under Fragaria vesca (wild strawberry). RNAcentral describes it as "long non-coding RNA (FVES_LNC003639)". The record is from RNAcentral. Lineage: Eukaryota; Viridiplantae; Streptophyta; Magnoliopsida; Rosales; Rosaceae.